UACGAAGGGGGCUAGCGUUGUUCGGAAUUACUGGGCGUAAAGCGCGCGCAGGCGGCCAUCCAAGUCAGUGGUGAAAGCCCGGAGCUCAACUCCGGAACUGCCAUUGAAACUGGUUGGCUAGAGUACGAGAGAGGUGAGUGGAAUUCCCAGUGUAGAGGUGAAAUUCGUAGAUAUUGGGAAGAACACCGGUGGCGAAGGCGGCUCACUGGCCCGUUUCUGACGCUGUAGCGCGAAAGCGUGGGGAUCAAACAGG
Molecule: ribosomal RNA, 253 nt
Filed under: uncultured bacterium
Lineage: Bacteria
Description: partial 16S ribosomal RNA
Rfam family: Bacterial small subunit ribosomal RNA
Source: RNAcentral